UACGAAGGGGGCUAGCGUUGCUCGGAAUGACUGGGCGUAAAGGGCGCGUAGGCGGAUGGCACAGUCAGAUGUGAAAUUCCUGGGCUUAACCUGGGGGCUGCAUUUGAUACGUGUGAUCUAGAGUGAGGAAGAGGGUUGUGGAAUUCCCAGUGUAGAGGUGAAAUUCGUAGAUAUCGGGAGGAACACCAGUGGCGAAGGCGGCGACCUGGGCCAAUAUUGACGCUGAGGUGCGAAAGCGUGGGGAGCAAACAGG
RNAcentral lists this ribosomal RNA (253 nucleotides) under uncultured bacterium. RNAcentral's name for it is "partial 16S ribosomal RNA". It matches the Rfam family "Bacterial small subunit ribosomal RNA", at positions 524 to 776 of the family's 1533-position model. The record is from RNAcentral.